UUAUGGGUGGCGAGUGGCGGACGGGUGAGGAAUACAUCGGAAUCUACUUUUUCGUGGGGGAUAACGUAGGGAAACUUACGCUAAUACCGCAUACGACCUACGGGUGAAAGCAGGGGAUCUUCGGACCUUGCGCGAUUGAAUGAGCCGAUGUCGGAUUAGCUAGUUGGCGGGGUAAAGGCCCACCAAGGCGACGAUCCGUAGCUGGUCUGAGAGGAUGAUCAGCCACACUGGAACUGAGACACGGUCCAGACUCCUACGGGAGGCAGCAGUGGGGAAUAUUGGACAAUGGGCGCAAGCCUGAUCCAGCCAUACCGCGUGGGUGAAGAAGGCCUUCGGGUUGUAAAGCCCUUUUGUUGGGAAAGAAAUCCAGCCGGCUAAUACCUGGUUGGGAUGACGGUACCCAAAGAAUAAGCACCGGCUAACUUCGUGCCAGCAGCCGCGGUAAUACGAAGGGUGCAAGCGUUACUCGGAAUUACUGGGCGUAAAGCGUGCGUAGGUGGUUGUUUAAGUCUGUUGUGAAAGCCCUGGGCUCAACCUGGGAACUGCAGUGGAAACUGGAUAACUAGAGUGUGGUAGAGGGUAGCGGAAUUCCCGGUGUAGCAGUGAAAUGCGUAGAGAUCGGGAGGAACAUCCAUGGCGAAGGCAGCUACCUGGACCAAC
This 660-nucleotide ribosomal RNA is filed under the name Xanthomonas sp. AR-365. Its description in RNAcentral is "bacterial SSU rRNA". It matches the Rfam family "Bacterial small subunit ribosomal RNA", at positions 82 to 738 of the family's 1533-position model. The record is from RNAcentral. Lineage: Bacteria; Pseudomonadati; Pseudomonadota; Gammaproteobacteria; Lysobacterales; Lysobacteraceae.